RNAcentral lists this ribosomal RNA (484 nucleotides) under uncultured bacterium. RNAcentral's name for it is "partial 16S ribosomal RNA". It matches the Rfam family "Bacterial small subunit ribosomal RNA", at positions 28 to 523 of the family's 1533-position model. The record is from RNAcentral.
GAUGAACGCUGGCGGCGUGCUUAACACAUGCAAGUCGAACGGUGAAGCAGGAGCUUGCUCUUGUGGAUCAGUGGCGAACGGGUGAGUAACACGUGAGCGACCUGCCCCUGACUCUGGGAUAAGCGCUGGAAACGGCGUCUAAUACUGGAUAUGUGAUGUGACCGCAUGGUCUGCAUCUGGAAAGAAUUUCGGUUGGGGAUGGGCUCGCGGCCUAUCAGCUUGUUGGUGAGGUAAUGGCUCACCAAGGCGUCGACGGGUAGCCGGCCUGAGAGGGUGACCGGCCACACUGGGACUGAGACACGGCCCAGACUCCUACGGGAGGCAGCAGUGGGGAAUAUUGCACAAUGGGCGGAAGCCUGAUGCAGCAACGCCGCGUGAGGGAUGACGGCCUUCGGGUUGUAAACCUCUUUUAGCAGGGAAGAAGCGAAAGUGAUGGUACCUGCAGAAAAAGCACCGGCUAACUACGUGCCAGCAGCCGCCGUAA